GUAAAGGAGGAGCUGUGUAACACGCUAACUCAAAUGCUGCCCAACAACAGCUACAUGAUAUGUUGUCCCCAAUGUGCAGAGGUGGGCACAGGAUCUGCUUUGAAAAACACUCUUACUUCAUGUUCAAUAGCAACGGCAUGGGACCCAAUCUGCUCACGCUGUUCAUCAAUGGUGUAAUCUUCCUGUCAGUCCUCGUGUUAUUGGAAAGCAAGGCUGCCAAAAUGCUGAAGAGUACAUGGUGGCGGAUAGUGACUCGUUGCUCGCAGG
Penaeus vannamei (Pacific white shrimp) is the source of this 267-nucleotide non-coding RNA. The record is from RefSeq and is a predicted model, not a curated record. Lineage: Eukaryota; Metazoa; Arthropoda; Malacostraca; Decapoda; Penaeidae.